GAUGAACGCUAGCGGCAGGCCUAACACAUGCAAGUCGAGGGAGAGGUUAUCUUCGGGUAACCAAAACCGGCGCACGGGUGCGUAACGCGUAUACAAUCUGCCUUUCACAUAGGGAUAGCCCGAAGAAAUUUGGAUUAAUACCUAAUGGUAUAUAGGAGCGGCAUCGUUUUUAUAUUAAAGCUACGGUGGUGAAAGAUGAGUAUGCGUUCUAUUAGCUAGUUGGAGAGGUAACGGCUCCCCAAGGCGACGAUAGAUAGGGGUUCUGAGAGGGAUGUCCCCCACACUGGUACUGAGAUACGGACCAGACUCCUACGGGAGGCAGCAGUGAGGAAUAUUGGACAAUGGUCGGAAGACUGAUCCAGCCAUGCCGCGUGCAGGAUGAAGGUCCUAUGGAUUGUAAACUGCUUUUUGUAAGGGAAGAAUAAGGAGUACGUGUACUUUGAUGACGGUACCUUUACGAAUAAGCAUCGGCUAACUCCGUGCCAGCAGCCGCGGUAAUACGGAGGAUGCGAGCGUUAUCCGAAAUCAUUGGGUUUAAAAGGGUCCGUAGGCGGCCUGAUAAGUCAGAGGUGAAAGCGCUUAGCUCCAACUAAGCAACUGCCUUUGAAACUGUAGUCUUGAAUGAUUGUUAAGUAGUUGGAAUGGGAGGUGGAGCGGUGAAUGCUUAUAUUUUAUGCGGACACCAUAGCCGCAGCAUAUUAUUUAUUAUUAAUGACGCAGAGGGGGAGGGGAGAUGAGCUAAUAGGAUAAAAUGUAUGUGAGUCAGGGGUAGUGUUCAUUUUUGGUGGCUUCUGGCGCAGCCCCCGCUCCGGGUGACAUGAUGCGAUCUUUUGUUGGUGCUACAAUGAAAUAGAAAAAAAAA
Molecule: ribosomal RNA, 862 nt
Filed under: uncultured Capnocytophaga sp.
Lineage: Bacteria; Pseudomonadati; Bacteroidota; Flavobacteriia; Flavobacteriales; Flavobacteriaceae
Description: bacterial SSU rRNA
Rfam family: Bacterial small subunit ribosomal RNA
Source: RNAcentral